Molecule: long non-coding RNA, 383 nt
Filed under: Nicotiana benthamiana
Lineage: Eukaryota; Viridiplantae; Streptophyta; Magnoliopsida; Solanales; Solanaceae
Description: long non-coding RNA (NBEN_LNC033992)
Source: RNAcentral
UGGGGUUUGACAAUCGAUUGUCAGUGAGUAAAAUCAGCAACUCUUAAUUGGCAAUUAGGCAAGGGUAAUGCCAAGUUUUUCAACUAUAAGUACAGCUUCAUUUCAGUGUUUUAAAUACAACAACAUACUACAACUGAUCAUUAUAUUGCCAUAAGCUUGUAUACUUUUGUUUAUCAUUUUGUAUUCAAUUUCAUAAAGCUUUUGAGAGCCGUAUUCUUGUCCAAAGUUGUUGUGAUCCAAAGCUUACUUCUUUUGCUCAUAUCUACUCAUUAAGGAGUAUUCUGUUUGAGUGUUUUAGUGUUGUAUACACUUGUAAGAGAAUUGUAAUUCUCUUGUUGUAAGGAACUUGUGUUUCCUUGGUUGAAGUCUUGGAGUGUUGNNNN